Molecule: ribosomal RNA, 253 nt
Filed under: uncultured bacterium
Lineage: Bacteria
Description: partial 16S ribosomal RNA
Rfam family: Bacterial small subunit ribosomal RNA
Source: RNAcentral
UACGAAGGGUGCAAGCGUUACUCGGAAUUACUGGGCGUAAAGCGUGCGUAGGUGGUUUGUUAAGUCUGAUGUGAAAGCCCUGGGCUCAACCUGGGAAUUGCAUUGGAUACUGGCGGGCUAGAGUGCGGUAGAGGAUGGCGGAAUUCCCGGUGUAGCAGUGAAAUGCGUAGAGAUCGGGAGGAACAUCUGUGGCGAAGGCGGCCAUCUGGACCAGCACUGACACUGAAGCACGAAAGCGUGGGGAGCAAACAGG